RNAcentral lists this transfer RNA (69 nucleotides) under Pambolus sp. QL-2013. RNAcentral describes it as "tRNA-Ala". Lineage: Eukaryota; Metazoa; Arthropoda; Insecta; Hymenoptera; Braconidae. The record is from RNAcentral.
AGAAUAAUAAUUUAUUUAAAAUUUUUAAUUUGCAUUUAAAAAAUAUUAAUUUAUAUUUAAUUUAUUUUA